GCGACGGGACGGCUUCCGUCCCCAUCGAACAACUGCCCCCAAUUCCGCAUUCCGAUCCAAACGGCGGCCUCGGCCGCCUCCCGGCCAUCCGCCGUCGUCGCCUCAACGGCGAGGGAGAGAGGGCCCUGGCUCGUCGUCCUCCUCCUCUGAAGGAGAAUUUACUCCCGCCGCCUGUCGCUUGUCUCGCUGAUGCGCCAUCGCGAGCUGACGCCGACGCCCUGCGCCGUCGGGCCGUUCGACAUCCGUUGGCUGCUGCCGAAGCCGCGCCUCACCGACGCCAUGCGCCGUCGCGACGUUCGACAUCCGUUGGUUGCUGCCGAAGCCGUGCCUCACCGGCCCCAAGCGGUCGUGGCCCAGGGCCACCGCGCGGGCAAGGCGCCGCUGCGCACACCAUGUACGUGGUGCCGCCAACGCGACUGAUGCGGGGAUGCAUGAUCUUCUUUGCCAUGGAUGGCCUGGUGCAUCGCUGCGUUCAGUGCCCAGAGCAACGUCUAGAGGCAUUUCCUCUCUUCUGUGAUCUUGGGCGUGGCCUCAUGACCGUCGUCAACGCCGACGCCGAAGUUCACCGCUGAAGUCUGCGUCCCUGCGUCGCUUGGUCGCCAUUGUUUGAGCGUGAAGAUCGUACAUAACCGAUGCCUCCUAUUCUUCCAGCAAUUUUCUCUCCCAUGGAGUUCGCCGGACAUGAGACUGCCAGAGUUGCUGCCCCGAUUCUCGCCGGGGACGGCGAAGUUCAUCUGGCCUAUUCGCUCUCUGCGGAGAGACGUGCGUGAUAACGUGUUAAUAGACAGAUUACGAAAUGAAUCCAAUCAGUAUCAAUUUCA
Triticum aestivum (bread wheat) is the source of this 821-nucleotide long non-coding RNA. RefSeq lists it as uncharacterized. The record is from RefSeq and is a predicted model, not a curated record. NCBI's taxonomy places the organism in Eukaryota, Viridiplantae, Streptophyta, Magnoliopsida, Poales, Poaceae. The transcript has 2 exons.